This 153-nucleotide unclassified non-coding RNA is filed under the name uncultured Pleosporales. RNAcentral's name for it is "sequence contains ITS2". Lineage: Eukaryota; Fungi; Ascomycota; Dothideomycetes; Pleosporales. The record is from RNAcentral.
UAACCCUCAAGCACUGCUUGGUGAUGGGCGUCUGUCCCGCCUCUGCGCGCGGACUCGCCCCAAAGGCAUUGGCAGCGGUCCCGUCCGCCUCUCGCGCAGCACAGAUGCGCUUCUCGAGGCUUCGGGCCCGCGUCCACGAAGCUCAUUUACCAC